AUACGAAGGGGGCAAGCGUUGUUCGGAAUAACUGGGCGUAAAGCGCACGUAGGCGGAUUGAUCAGUUAGAGGUGAAAUCCCAGGGCUCAACCCUGGAACUGCCUUUAAUACUGUCAGUCUAGAGAUCGAGAGAGGUGAGUGGAAUUCCGAGUGUAGAGGUGAAAGUCGUAGAUAUUCGGAGGAACACCAGUGGCGAAGGCGGCUCACUGGCUCGAUACUGACGCUGAGGUGCGAAAGCGUGGGGAGCAAACAGGAUUAGAAACCCGAGUAGUCC
RNAcentral lists this ribosomal RNA (274 nucleotides) under uncultured bacterium. RNAcentral's name for it is "partial 16S ribosomal RNA". It matches the Rfam family "Bacterial small subunit ribosomal RNA", at positions 523 to 796 of the family's 1533-position model. The record is from RNAcentral.